GGCGACUACGAGCUCGAGGAGGACUCUCUGCAGAAGCUCGUCAACUGCGAGAAUCGCUGCCGCGAACUCCAAGAUCAGAUCUCGUCUCUCGAGCGUGAGGUUCUCUCGUUGGAGGAUCGCCUGGAGAAGCGCCGGUACGGGGCGAGACUGAGCGACGUGGCGUUGGACAAGUGCAUUAGCGCAUGGAACGAUCUGGAGAUGGAGAAAAAAUUCUGGGUUGAUACGUAUGGGAAGUCACCGAGAACUUGGUACAAAGUCGACGAUGAUAUCGAUGCGUUGCGGGCUGAGGUUGGAUCCUUAAAAGAUAGCAGGCAAGCGCUGUGGACCAAUGUGCGACAAAUUCAAGAAGAGGUCAAGAAAUGCAAUGAAGAGAAUCGACGAUUGCUGAAACAGUUGAGCAAGAGGAGAGAUGGCAAAGGAUCAGAGGCCGAACACAACAGCAGUGCUGAUAAAGUGAGCGA
This is a long non-coding RNA of Musa acuminata AAA Group (dessert banana), 461 nucleotides long. RefSeq lists it as uncharacterized. The transcript has 4 exons. NCBI's taxonomy places the organism in Eukaryota, Viridiplantae, Streptophyta, Magnoliopsida, Zingiberales, Musaceae. The record is from RefSeq and is a predicted model, not a curated record.